Molecule: non-coding RNA, 233 nt
Filed under: Aerococcus viridans
Lineage: Bacteria; Bacillati; Bacillota; Bacilli; Lactobacillales; Aerococcaceae
Description: T-box sequence
Rfam family: T-box leader
About the family: Uncharged tRNA acts as the effector for transcription antitermination of genes in the T-box leader family. T-boxes are found upstream of many aminoacyl-tRNA synthetase genes and some amino acid biosynthetic genes usually in Gram-positive bacteria.
Source: RNAcentral
ACUAGUGCGUGGAUGAGUAGAGUAAUUAUGGGGGUAAGGCACAGAAAGUCUGUAGUUGAUGAGAGCAGAUGCUUACCAGUAAUGAAAAUGACCUUUGAGCAUCUAGCCAGUGAAAGCUGGUUAGACGGAUGGAACCGUUAAAUUUUCUAGUAUAGAUUUACUGGAUGAGAAAUUGCUCGCGAGGGCAGUUUGAACAAGGGUGGCACCGCGAACGUUGACUCUUCGCCCCUUCU